RNAcentral lists this ribosomal RNA (253 nucleotides) under uncultured bacterium. RNAcentral's name for it is "partial 16S ribosomal RNA". It matches the Rfam family "Bacterial small subunit ribosomal RNA", at positions 524 to 776 of the family's 1533-position model. The record is from RNAcentral.
UACGAAGGGGGCUAGCGUUACUCGGAUUGACUGGGCGUAAAGGGCGCGUAGGCGGUUCGUACAGUCAGACGUGAAAUUCCUGGGCUCAACCUGGGGGCUGCGUUUGAUACGUGCGGGCUUGAGUUCGGAAGAGGGUCGUGGAAUUCCCAGUGUAGAGGUGAAAUUCGUAGAUAUUGGGAAGAACACCGGUGGCGAAGGCGGCGACCUGGUCCGAUACUGACGCUGAGGUGCGAAAGCGUGGGGAGCAAACAGG